RNAcentral lists this ribosomal RNA (407 nucleotides) under uncultured Nocardioides sp. RNAcentral describes it as "bacterial SSU rRNA". It matches the Rfam family "Bacterial small subunit ribosomal RNA", at positions 355 to 774 of the family's 1533-position model. Lineage: Bacteria; Bacillati; Actinomycetota; Actinomycetes; Propionibacteriales; Nocardioidaceae. The record is from RNAcentral.
UGGGGAAUAUUGGACAAUGGGCGAAAGCCUGAUCCAGCAACGCCGCGUGAGGGAUGACGGCCUUCGGGUUGUAAACCUCUUUCAGCAGGGACGAAGCGAGAGUGACGGUACCUGCAGAAGAAGCACCGGCCAACUACGUGCCAGCAGCCGCGGUAAUACGUAGGGUGCAAGCGUUGUCCGGAAUUAUUGGGCGUAAAGGGCUCGUAGGCGGUCCAUCGCGUCGGGAGUGAAAAGCUGGGGCUCAACCCCAGUCCUGCUUCCGAUACGGGUGGACUAGAGGUAUGCAGGGGAGAACGGAAUUCCUGGUGUAGCGGUGAAAUGCGCAGAUAUCAGGAGGAACACCGGUGGCGAAGGCGGUUCUCUGGGCAUUACCUGACGCUGAGGAGCGAAAGCGUGGGGAGCAAACA